This is a non-coding RNA of Gossypium hirsutum (cotton), 107 nucleotides long. The record is from Rfam. NCBI's taxonomy places the organism in Eukaryota, Viridiplantae, Streptophyta, Magnoliopsida, Malvales, Malvaceae.
AACCCAUGGUGAGGACACCGUCUUAAUAAGUCCUUAUACCUCUCUCAUGCAUCAUAUAGAGUUUCUAAGUCAAUCUAAAUGAAGGAAGAGAUAUCAUUCCUCAACUU